AUCAAAUUGGCGCUGACCAGGACAAGCACGGGAGAUGAGGCCAGAGGAAGCUGGAAGACCACGAAACAAGGCUUGUUGCCGUUACUCCGCUCAGCUUCGGCUGUGCGGCUCAUCCUCCCUUCCAUGCCUGGAACCGGUGAAAUUUAAGAAGAAGAGUCAUUUCUAUGAAUCCACUUAGAAAUGCAUUGCGGUCUAUCAGUACUGCGCAUAUCCGAGCAGUCCUAGCGGCAAAAGAACAUG
This is a long non-coding RNA of Hyla sarda, 240 nucleotides long. RefSeq lists it as uncharacterized. NCBI's taxonomy places the organism in Eukaryota, Metazoa, Chordata, Amphibia, Anura, Hylidae. The transcript has 3 exons. The record is from RefSeq and is a predicted model, not a curated record.